AGCAUGCAACACAGAAAAUAUUAGAGUCGAAAAGGGCAUUAGACUAUACAGAAUGGUCAGAGAGCCAGAAGGCAGUCCAGGGGUUUUUAACCUGGCAUCCAUCCUCAAGGGACGCUGAUAGAUUUCAGAGAAUCCAGCAAUUUGUAUGGGGGGGGGAAAUUACACCUUUAUUUUAUUAUAAUUGGUUUCCUUUAUCAUCCUAGGUAUUUUAUUUAUGCAUUUAAGAGCAUCAUUCUGAGAAGGGAUCCAGAGACUUCAUCCAAACUGCCAAACUGUCGGUGACAUGGACAAGGUUAAGAACACCUUAUAGUCCAAUUCCAUCCACAUUUUACAGAGGAACAAACUGAGAUCCCAAAAGGCUGAGUGACUUGGCUUAGAUCCUUCAGUGAGUGACUUAGUGAGAGAGCCAAGAUCAUUCAAGACUGACUCCCAACCCAGGACUCUUUGCCCUCAUAGGUUGCACCAUCACACCCCAGAGCUUUCCACCUGAGGAAGAAAAUGCGCAAAAGACAAGUGAUCUUACUGGUGGUCUUUGAAAGUAGCCGUGGCCAAAUGAUUCAUCACUCAGCAGCCAGCUUGAUGAUGAGACUCUCUGGUUCUCAGACGAAAGACAUUUGUCCAGUCCUGGAGGCUGGUCCUCCAGCUCCCAUGAGGAGGUCAAAGGAAGCCAUGGUCCUGCCAUGUCCACAUCUGGAGUACAGCAUUCAGUCAUUACUACUAAUCAGAAGAACCUGCUCUCUAACCUCCAGCUGCACUUGGCAUUUGCCCUUCAGCUGGCAUUUAGCCUAUUGCUUUCAUCUUUGGUUAGCUUGUUCUUUGCUAUGUAGGGCCUGUCUCUCUUGCCCAAUUGUAAGGAGACCUCUUAUGCCUCCAGCUUCCCAGGGCCAACGGCAUAUUUAGGAACUCACCAACCAUCUGUGGAUGCUGACAGUGAUACCCCCAGACAGCCUGGGGCUGGCUUGCCUUCAGAUUGUAGUUCUAGAAGCAGCCUGGCCAGCCAGGCCGAAAUUUCCCAAGAGAAACGAAGAAUUAUCUCAGUGUCAGAAUCAGAAGGUACCUGAGUGAUGGACUGUUCCAACCUCCUUGUUUUACAGAAGAUAUAUUAAGACCUCCAUAAGGAAAGUAACUGUCUCAGGAUCACACAGGAAGUUAAUAGUAGAAGCAAAGCUGUUUUUUGUUUUUUGUGUUUUGGAGCGGGGAGGGAAUGGGGAAGAAUUUAAUUAGCGUCUGGAAACAUCCUAUGUGGAAACUCCCUCCACCAAUACAAAUGGGAACUUUGUAAUUUAGGCAUAAUUUCAUAGAUUCAUAGAGUUGGAAGGGACCUCACUCAGGUAAGUCAAUAAGUAUUUAUUAAAACUAUGUAUCAGGUGCUCUGCUAAGUGCUGAGGUUACAAAGAAAGACGAAAAAGUGGUCCCAGAGCUUAAGGAGAUUAUAUUUUAAUGGGAGACACCAUGGAAUCAGCUAUGUGAUUUCGAAGGUGGCUUUUGACUCUAUCCACUGCUAUGACCAACUGAGCUAAUUACAGAAAUGCUUAUCAUUGGAGGGCUGCUCAAUAGAGGGUGUUUUAGAACCACAGUCACUCACUUUCUUUCCUCCUACCCCACUUCCUCAGUUGGGGUUAAGUGUCUUUCCCGGGAUCACAAGGCUGAAUCGCAGGUCCUCCUGACUCCAGGGCUAUAAACUUCACCACCUAACUGCCCCAACCACGGUCACUCACAAAGGCUGCCUGCGAAGGUGUUCCAUGCCUGUCUGGCUCUCCCUCCUCAUCUCUGCCUCUUGUCUGCCUCAUUUUUCUUCAAGUCUCACCUUUCCCAGUUCAUCCCAAUUCUCUCUGGGUUUAUUUCCAAUUUAUCUGUCUUUGUAGCUUGUUUGUACAAAGUGGUUUGCAUCUUGUCUCUCAGUUUACUUGGAACUUCUUGAGACCAGGCAGGAACUGUUUUUUUUUUUUUGCUUGUCUUUGUAUUCCUAGCACUUAGCACAAUGCCAGGCACAAGGUGUUUAGCAAAUGUUAGUGGAGUCACUGUCAGGAUUGAAGUUAAAGGGCCUGGGUUUAAAUCCUAUGUUUGAUGCUUACUACCUAUUCGACCUUAGGCAAGUCAUUACCUUCUCCAGGUCUCAGUUUCCUCAUCUAUAAAAUGAAGGGGAUUAGAUGAGAUGGUCUUCUUAUGGAAGUACUCUCUGUGAGGUAGUUAGUCCAAGUAAUAUUAUCCACAUUUAAUGGAUAUGAAUUUUGAGAACCAGAGCAGGUAAAUGACUUAGCCAGGGUUAGCAGCUGUUCAGUGGCCAAACCGGGAUUAGGGCUUGGGUCUUCUGAUUCCAAAUCCAGCUGGCUGGGGUAUUUUUCGGGCCCUAGAUAUCACAGGAUAGAGACAGACCUGGAGAGGCAGAGGCAGCACAGUCAGAAUUCAGUUUAUGAAGGGCUAACCUCAUCCAAGGCCUCCAGGCAAAAGAAUCUUCCCACCUCCGCCUCGGGAGAGUGAAAUGAAGGCGGGAUUUCUGGAUUCUGUUCCCGCCCCCACCCCCACCCCACCUCCGCAGCUCUUCUAGAGAAGGAUGUUGGUAGCCUUCCAUUCACCCUACUGUACUUUCCUAUAUCAGAAGAAUGGAAGUGGGGGACGGGACUGGGACAAGGAGAACCCUUGAUCUCAGAGUCUACUCUGAUUUUCAGGUGGGGAGGGGUGGAACAAAAUAGAACCAAUUCUGCCCCCACCCCCCACCUCCUAUCCUGGAUUUUCUCGGGUCUCUCAAAAGAAGAGAUUGGAAUGAUUGUCUCCUAAGGUUUCUUUCAGUUUUAAAUGGCAGUCUCCCUUCUCCCGGACUUCAAAAAGUAGAUUAAGGGGGGCGGGGUAGGGAUGGAGGGAAGGGAGAGAAAGGCGCACCUGCCUGGCGAGUGUUUGAUUGAGGGCAUGGCUCAGGAUGUAGGGCUGGGGGAGCCCUCGGUUAGAGCAAGGCUAGGCUGCCUGAGUCAGUCAGCUAAUGUCCAAGUGCACCUCUCUGGGUUUCUUAGUUUCGUUUUUUGGCUAAUUUCAUUAUCAUUCCAAACCCUUUCCACGGCCGGGUAUUUUAUGUGAGGUUGAGCCAAACCCUUCCCUUCUCCGGAAUUCCAUCUGCAGAAGAAGAGGUUGGAUCCCAUGAUCUUUAAGCCCCUUUCCCCACUCCAAGUCCUGGGAUCCCAUCACCCCAGCCUGCUGCCAGGCAAGGCUUUCGGAGGUUGCAUUCCUGAGGAGGGAGGGGCUGCCUAAUUAAGGAAGCCGGUCUGAACAGCUCAUUCCCGAUAGGCUUGUAGUCUAGUCUCCCUCGAGCUGAGCUAGAGAGGACGUUGUUAAGGAAGGAAAUAGUUGUGGCCAGACAGCUUCACAGGCUCUGCAUGGAAAACCCCUUUGGUGCCUGGUGUUUCCUGGCUGCUGCAAACCAGAGUGCCUCCACCAAAAUAUGGUCACAGUCAUAGAACGUUAGGGCUCAGGGAUCAUCCUGUGUGACCUCUUCAUUUUAUAGAAAAGGAAACUGAGAAUCAUCCAAAAGAAGCGACCCCACAGCAAAGCUGCAGUCACUGAACAGGAGAGAAUGGAAACAGAACGGAAGGCUUCUGAACCUUAAGAAUAAUUGUGGCUGGCAUGUCAAUAGCCCUUUAAAAUUUCCUAAGGGCUUUCUUCUCAACAACCCUGUGAAGUGGGUAUGAGAGCAUUAUUAUCAUUAAUUUAAUUCAGAGGAUGCUAGACUGAGGGCCGGAAGAAACCUCGGAGGCCACUGAUUGCAGGGAGGUGGAGCCUUACCCCAAGCUCAUUCAACUGGGCACUGACAGGGGAUUUGAACCCAGCUAUUUCUUGACUCCAAGUUCAGUAUUGUGUCCAUUAGGUCAGGCUACAUCUCUAAUUCCAUUUAACACGCACUUAUUUAGUAUCCACUAAAUGAAAGGCCCUUGUGGGCAGCUAGGUGACAAAGUGGCAAACCCAGGCCUAGGGUCUGGAAGAUUCAUCUUUCUGAGUUCAAAUCUGGCCUCAGACACUUGCUAGUUGUGUGACUCUGGGUAAGUCACUUAACCCUUAUGUGUCUCAGUUACCGAGCUGUAAAAUGGGGACACAUUGGAGAAGGAAAUGGCAAAUCAAUCCAGUAUCUUUGCCAAGAAAACCCAAUGGACAAAGCCCGUGGGAUCAGAGUUGGACAUGACAGAACAACAAAAGCAAAACACUAUGGUUGGGGCUAAAUCAUAGGCUGUUACCUUGGAUCUAUGCAUCAAGGACCAGGCAGAGCUGUUGUUAUGCUGGGCCCAAAGAGAAACAAAGACAAACCCAAAACAGGUCCUGUCCUCAAGAAGCUACAACAAAUGCACAAAGUAAAUACAAAAUAAACAUGUAAAAAUAGAGAGAGGAGAAGAGCCC
Molecule: long non-coding RNA, 4380 nt
Filed under: Phascolarctos cinereus (koala)
Lineage: Eukaryota; Metazoa; Chordata; Mammalia; Diprotodontia; Phascolarctidae
Description: lncRNA (ENSPCIG00000033266.1)
Source: RNAcentral